Molecule: ribosomal RNA, 177 nt
Filed under: Escherichia coli
Lineage: Bacteria; Pseudomonadati; Pseudomonadota; Gammaproteobacteria; Enterobacterales; Enterobacteriaceae
Also listed under: 4 other names
Description: partial 16S ribosomal RNA
Rfam family: Bacterial small subunit ribosomal RNA
Source: RNAcentral
CCACGGUGAAUACGUUCCCGGGCCUUGUACACACCGCCCGUCACACCAUGGGAGUGGGUUGCAAAAGAAGUAGGUAGCUUAACCUUCGGGAGGGCGCUUACCACUUUGUGAUUCAUGACUGGGGUGAAGUCGUAACAAGGUAACCGUAGGGGAACCUGCGGUUGGAUCACCUCCUUA